This 253-nucleotide ribosomal RNA is filed under the name uncultured bacterium. RNAcentral describes it as "partial 16S ribosomal RNA". It matches the Rfam family "Bacterial small subunit ribosomal RNA", at positions 524 to 776 of the family's 1533-position model. The record is from RNAcentral.
UACAGAGGUCUCAAGCGUUGUUCGGAUUCAUUGGGCGUAAAGGGUGCGUAGGCGGCGCGGUAAGUCGGGUGUGAAAUCUUGGAGCUUAACUCCGAAACUGCAUUCGAUACUGCCGUGCUUGAGGACUGGAGAGGAGACUGGAAUUUACGGUGUAGCGGUGAAAUGCGUAGAUAUCAGGAGGAAUACCGGUGGUGUAGAGGGCUCUCGGGCCCGCCACUGACGCUGAGACACGAAAGCGUGGGUAGCAAACAGG